GGUAAAUGUUUCAUGAUAAUAGGUUAGGUAAAUGUUCCAUGAUAAUAGGUUAGGUAAAUGUUCCAUGAUAAUGGGUUAGGUAAAUGUUUCAUGAUAAUGGGUUAGGUAAAUGUUUCAUGAUAAGAAUUUCAUGUCUUUUGUAUUAAAGAAUUAAAUGGAUGAAAUAUGAAGUUUUAUUAAAAGAAAAAGGGGUGAAAAGAACAAAGUUUUGUCCAUCUUUGUUCAUCAUAGCUGAAAGUUAGAGAAGAGAAAGGAGAGGAGAAAGCUCUUGAGUAUUCGGUCAUUAGGAGGAGGAAAAUUGAAGGCGGUUCGUGUGUGGAUCUCGUCAGCAUAUCGCCGCAAACAGGAAAUCCCCAACCAUAGUGGGCU
This is a long non-coding RNA of Gossypium arboreum, 369 nucleotides long. RefSeq lists it as uncharacterized. The transcript has 3 exons. NCBI's taxonomy places the organism in Eukaryota, Viridiplantae, Streptophyta, Magnoliopsida, Malvales, Malvaceae. The record is from RefSeq and is a predicted model, not a curated record.